This 682-nucleotide small RNA is filed under the name Pongo abelii (Sumatran orangutan). RNAcentral's name for it is "retained intron". The record is from RNAcentral. Lineage: Eukaryota; Metazoa; Chordata; Mammalia; Primates; Hominidae.
GACCUGCAGUUUGUGGCGCUGUGAUGAUACCUGACUUCCCAGCCGGGCUUUGAGUCCCGUUUUUCUCGGCUUCCCGCGCGCCAACGCCAGCUCCAUAACCUCACCAACAUUUAGAAAAAAAGAUGGAGGGGUGGGGACAGAAGGAACUGGUUAACUCGCGGGUUUCCUUUCAAAUGCACUAAACAUGUUUUCUCUCCUGACCUUUAUUCUCUCACACACUCUCUGAAGAAGGUGGUCUAGAGGCUGGAGAUUCAAGAUCUGGGUGCCAUCAUUUUCUGGUUCUGUUGAUGACCCUCUUCCAGGUUACAUACAGCUCACAUCUUGCAUCCUCAAGUGGUAGAGAGCAAACUCUUAAAUGUUUCUAUAUGUUUUUAUUCUACUGCCACAUUAAAUCGCCGAGCCAGAUAAUUUGUUGAAUAUUUAUCCCUCACCCUCUGCCCCACCACAUGUGCAGAGUUUUGCAUUACUUUUGCAUAUUGACAAUGUAUUUUAGUGGUCAGUAAAGAAAUAUUUAUGUUUGACUUUUUUGCUUAAAAAUAUUCUAAAAUUCAUGAUGACUGACUUUGGCUUUGUGAACUUGAACUAUAUCUUAUGGGUAUAGCAGGUGAGAUGUUCAGCCUUCUACUAGUUGACAUUCAAAUUGUUAAUAGCUAACACUGAUAAAGCUCUUUAUAUGCUAGCU